AAAGCUCUCAAACAUCAUCUGCUUCUUUGUUCUGCGAAAAAAUAUUUUUUUUUCCAUUCCUAAGCUUCUCAUGGCUCCCCCGCAAACUAAAAGUGUGACCAGAUACUCAAUUAGUGCUUAAGAAAAACCAAAAUCUUGCCCGCCAAACUCACAAGUGCAUGAAAUCUCUCAAAUUUCAUCAAGAUCCUCUUAUUUUCCUUAGUCCAGAAACCAUGGGAUUAGGCCCAGCUUUUAUAGAUCAAUUUCCAAAAGAACAUGAUGAUUUCUAUCCAAUGGCAGAAAAAUGUCUUCCCUACUCCAAGGACUUCACACCUCCCUAAUCUAAAUCCAGCAAAAGAUCACCAAAACCAAAAUUCAAACUCCAAAAUUGGUAUGUCCCUAAGAAGGAUUGGAAAACUUGGGUUACCAGGCUUUCUAAUGAUAGAAAUUUCAUCACAGUGGAAGCGGCUUGGCAGUUACGACGCCAUUCAAUUGAAACAAAUGAGUGAAUUUGAAGACGAUCCAGAAGAAGAAGAAAUUGUUGACAAGAAGAACAAGAUCAAGGCGAAAUAUCUAUGAUCAUUGAAGAAGAAGCAGAAGGUUUAGAAGAUGUGGUUGAAGAAUCGGAUUCCGAAAUGGAUAAACAAGGCGUCAAAAGUGAAAACUACCAAGAAAAAGAUCCUCUUGUCAAAGCCUAAGGAAAAACCAAAAUUACUCAUGGAAUUGCACCGGCUAAGAAAAAGAAACUUACUCCAAUCAAGAAAAGACAAGUGGUAAUUUCAAGUAGUAGUGAUGACAGCAAGCUAGAUACAGAUAAAUCUGAUGAUGAGAGCUACUCCAAAGAAACCCAAUCCGCUGGUUUGAUCAAAGUAUGCAUCUUCUGCCUUAGUCAUCUACCAUUUUCCUUCUCAUUACUUUUUCUUUAACUUUGGCUCAUUUAACAAAAAGAGAAAAAUACUCCUAAGAAAACUCCUCAAAGGACAAGAACUCAUUCGAAAGGCAAUAAAAGAAAGAUUCUUCCAGAACUAGAAAAGAUAAAAAUGGCCACAAAGGAGUAAUCGGCCAAAAAGGUUAAAACCUUUAAACAAGCCGAUUUGGUAUGCGACUCUAUUUAAUGGGUUUUCAUCAUGUGGUCAAUUUCUCUCUCUAAUACUUUGUAUUUGUAUACAGAAAACUUCUUCGAAAGAAAACAUUCUGGAUUCUCCUUUAAUAGGCUCAAACCUUCCACAAUCAGGUCUUAAUUAACAAAAUUUCCUUAUUCAUGUUAUUAGUACCGCAACUCCAGGAAACACUCAAAUGCCAACCCAUCAAUCUCCAUCUGUCAUUGGACCACAAACUAUUCAGUUUGGUGACUCCUCUACUGAUCCAAUUAUAUCUAUUAUGGAGGUAUUUUUUAAAACUCUGUGUCUCUGAAUCCUUUUUAAUAAAAACAAAUAAAUAAUAAUAUAUUUUAUUUGCAGCUUUCUAGAACUCCUUCUAUGUCAUCUUUUACCUCAUUCCUUAGUCAAAAAAGGUCACUUCCAGCUCUUGGUGACCCCUUCAAAGCUAUCCACACCACAGGCUCUGGAGGAAGUACUUCCAAUUCAAGCUCAAGAAUCCCAAUUAUUUCAGGACCUGAAGAAGCUUUCCAAGUUGCAAAAGGUCAACUACUGGGAUAUUUAAAUAAAGAUGUGACUGAAAUACCUAUCUUUUAGCAUGACCUUACCACUGUCCUUGCUACCUGUGAUGGCCCUGGUUUUUAGACCAAUGCGUCAGUGAUGAACAGGAAGGAUGAUCCGAUAACAAAUCUGAAUGCGGAAGCGAAAACAGAAAACAAGACUCUAAGAAGUCAAAGUGACCUUCCAUGAGGUCGUGGAACUCAACAAGAACUGAUGCGGAAGCAAAAGAUCGAAAAUAUGACAAAUAAGCCCCUAAGGGCAAAAUAGUCAUUUCUGAAACUAUAGAUUCGGGUGCUACCGAGCACACCGCUAGAAGAACAACGAAAAACUAAUCAAGCUGGACUCAAGAAUCGCAUGAUUCGGAGUCCAGAAGGAAGGAGAAAUGGCAUGACGAAGAAAAACGAGCACUUAAAGCAAAAAGGGUAAACUGGUAAUUAUUCAGAAAGAAUCGGGUGCAACUGACCACACCGUUGGAAAGACAGCAAAAAAUUAGUCAAGUUCAAAAAAAAAUUCACUUGAAUCGAGUCCGGACGAAGGAGAAAAGCCCAAAAGAAGAAUUGACGUCGCGGCGGCCCGACGAGGGGCCAUGACAGCCCCAUGCGCACGCCUAUGCACGCCGCGCGCGCGUUGGGUGCACACAUGGCUGGCAGCAGCCCAUAAAGCUGCUGUAUGGUUUUUUUUUCAAAAAAAAUCCGGAACAGAGGCUGAAUUUGGAGGCCUAGAUGAAUUUUUUUGCAAAAAUACAAAGAAGAAACCCCCUUCAAAAUUGAGUUUUCUACGUGAUACGUGAGAGAAUUCAAAAAAAACUCAUUGUAAAAUGGCCAAAAUGCCCUCCCUAGAAAUCUGGUCAAAAGAGCUAAAAAACUGCUAAAAUGAAAACUGGAAGCUGAAACUUCACAAGCGAUUUCCGGUACCAAGACGAUGUUUUAUGGAAAAAUACGAAGAAGAAACCCUCCCUAAAAUUACGUUUUCUAAUCGACCAUAUCGAAAGAAGAAAAUAAAACUGAUGUGAAAGGUCUAAAAUACCCCUAAAUCAGAUUAUGCAACAAAACCUCAAAAUGAGUUCCUAGGAGGCUCAAAUUGCCAAGGAAGAGGUUUUUCUUGAAAACGAUCAUGCACACAAACGUAACUUACCAAUUAGGACGUGCUACAAUGGUCCAUGGCUUAAAAAUACUACCGAUGCAAAAUCCGACCCCCCAACGGGCAAAAAGGCAAAGAUGAACAAGAAAAGGGAAAUUUGAAAACCAAAAUUAACAAAUGAUUUCAAAUUACCGUUUGGCCCUUGGCCACACUUCAUAUAUGAUUAAUGAGACCCUAUGAAAGAAUAAAAAUGGAAUUCCCACACCCGAUGCAAGCAUAGUGAAGCAAUGACUCGGUAUUUUUCAAUAUUUUCAUAAUAUUUCAUGAAGUUAAAAGUUACAUAGGAUAUAAAUUAGAUGUCAUUGGCCUAUGGCCUCAUCUCAUACAUGUCAAAUACAUUGUAAAAAGUGUACUUAUGUACAUAUUACAAAAAUAGAAUCAAAUUUACACAUUUUGACAUAUAAAGCUAUAAAUGGCAUUUCAAGCCAACAUUUACAAGAAAUGAGAACUUCUAGUCUACAAAUCAUCCAAGCAUGAUGUGAAUCCCGAAUCUUGAUCCCGGUACCUGAAAAAUGUCCCCACUAUGUGGGUGAGUAACAUAAAGCUACUCGUAGGAGAUGAGCAUGCAUCGACCUAGCGUUUUAUAAUUAUUUCACCUUAAGGUGAAACAUGUCAAAGAGGCUCAUGCCACUUAACGUCUAUGUCAAGUGAGACUCAGGGAUCAUCCUAAGCUACUCAUGCAAUUUAAAGUGAACAACGGCAUACAAGUAUACAUGCUCAAGUAUACUAAAUAAUGUUAAACAUGUUAUACAACAUAUAAGCAUACAAUUACAAGUACACUAGGUCAUGCUAAACAAGGUAAGCACUAUCAAGCAUACAUCUCCAAGUAUACUAAACCCUAUUAAAACAACUCAUGCAAUGUCUAAACAUACCUACACAAGUAUACAAUUAAUACGGAAAGCUCAUGAAUCAAGUAUACAAACACAAGCAUACUAAACAAGAUGAGUUGUACAUAAAACAAGUAUACAUAGCACAAGUAUACUAAAUGAAACCUACACACACGGAAUAAGUAUAUUAGCUCAAGUACACUAAAAGAGGCUCGAAUACACAAACAAGUACACUAGUCCAAGAUACUAAAUAAGGUCAAAAUACACGAAACAAGUAUAUAGUUCCAAGUAUACUACAUGAGAUCAAAAUACAUGAAGCAAGUAUACAGUCUCAAGUAUACUAAAUGAGAUCCAAAUACACAAGGCAAGCACUAAUUCACAAGCUACAAGUAAUCCAUGAUUAACAACUUGGAAUGGAAUCCGAAAUCAAGAGUGGAAAGACUAGGACAUGCGGUCACUAGACCAAGCAAGUAUUUUUGGGUAAUUACGACCCACAAGGCACUACCUAGUGCGCACAUGUAUAAGUUAUUCAGGGUAAUUACGACCCACAAGGUACUACCUAGUGCGCACUUAUGACUUAGAAGACUUUUGCCUCCGUACUAGAGCCAAACCCUAGCCAUCAUAUGAAAUAUGUCCUACAAGCUUUCCAAAAUCAAUAAGUUCAAAACUUAUACCAAAAUCAAUAAGUUAGGCCAAACUUAUAUCAAAUCCAAUAAUGCAUAAAACCCAUCUUCCAUGCACAAGUAAGGUUGAAUCCACACAAACCAUGUCCUAGAAUUCAAGUCUAAAUAGCAUAUGACAAGUCAUGUCCUCAAUAUGCAAUUUAUACAUAAAGCAAGAAUAUUUUACAAUAAUUGAACCACAUUACCAUCCUAAGCCACAAGUACUAAAUAGGCUACAAUUUAGUAUCAAGCUUUCAAGAAAAUCAAUUGUAAUAUUCUAACAAGUUAUAUACCUACACAAGAUAUAUAUAAACAAGUUAUACAAGUCAAUGAUAUUUUAUAUCAUGCUAAGUCCAAUUAUCAUUUCAAGAUGUCUCAAGUGCUAAUUCUAUAUCAAAUUAAUAACAUGCUUACAAGGUGAUUAAAUAGACCACAUUUCAAGGGAUUAUCAACAUAUUACCUCCAAUAUCAAUUUAAGUGACCGACACACUUAAAAUAAAAUUAAUUAAGCUCAUUAAUUAAUUCUUCUCUAGAUUUUCAAACAUAUCUAAAUGUCCUCAAUUUAAUAUAUGUUAAAGAACUCACCAAGGCCUACUUUAAUAUCAUAUUACAAGUUGAUUCCAUGCUUGAUACAACUAGGUGAAUUAAACUUUCACAAAAGAUAAAUAUUAAAUAAAAUUUGCAAUUCUUAUUCAAAUAACUCCAAUUUAAUAUAUAUCAACCACCAUACCAAGGCCUAAAUUUCUAGCAUUCCACAAUUUAAUUCUAAGUUGCCUAGCAUCAUGAGAAUUAAAUCUUAAACAAAGAAAAUAAUUAAAUUAAAUUCUAAAAACUAGAACAAGGUAUGCUCACAAGUUGUAUAUGCUUAUAAAACAAUCAAUACAACAAUAAUAUAAACCCAAGACACCCCCUACCUCAAUUUGAGAUGAAAAUCUCAAAAGCCAUCAAAACGAAACGGCUCCGAAUCCGACAAUACUUCGGGGUUUCGUAGGGGACAAUGCCAUUAACGAUGAACUCCAAAGAGGACCCAUGAAAAUCACAACUUGACUUGAAAACCAAACUCAAAAUUUGGCCAGAAAUGGGUUCUAAUAAGGGUGAAAGAAGCACGUAGUCAACAUGAACACAAAACGCAAAGGCCCUACUAUGUUCUAACAAAGAAAUGAAGUUCAAAUGAGGAGAGAGAAGGUGGCAGCCUCCCUUGGGUUGCCAUGGAAGCUUCAGGUCGUGCAAGAGAGUGGGGAAGAUGAAAAAAUAAAAUAUCUCAUUCCCCUUUUAUAGAAAUCUCAAAAAGUGCCUCGAACGGGCCCCGCCGGGUCUGGAAAAGUGAAAUUUGAGCAGACGCGCUCAGAUGAUGAAACUCUAUGAACAAAAAAGAUUCGAAAUGAGAAAAUAAGAAUAACGGAAGAAACGACGUCAAAAACUGAGUUCCGAGUAGAAAGUUAUGCCCCAAACAAGUUUGGCGCAAAUUGGGGCCAAAAAUCCUGAAACUGGAAAACAUCGACCAGAAGGGAGUUCUAAGAGUUUACGACUCAACGAAAAGUGAAAAUGAAUCCCGUACGAGGAUCCAGGCUCAAAACAAGAUAAUUUGCAACAACUUUCAUUAAUUGCACAAUGGUCCCCAUAAAAAGGGUUAACUGCAAAACUGCCCCAGAAUGAAAAAAUCUUUCAAAAGAUAUUUUCUUAGAUACUCCUGAAAUAAAAUAUCUUCAAAAGAUAUUUACGAAAAACACCCCAAGAAAAGAAAUUUAUUUCAAAGAAUUAUGCAUCCAUGCCCCUACGGACACCGGGAGCAACCAGAGGACUUUCCUACAAAAGUAAAGAUAUGUAUUUCGUGGAAACCACUCACGAUAAAGAUAUGUGAAGUCAAAAACCAACUCCGAGCACAAGAAGUGAGAUUUUUCCAACAAAGUGACAAACGGGGAAAAGACGAAAUAGGGAAAAGGACGAAAUAGGAAUAAGGACAAAAAGUGAAUAGUUUUGAAAAACGAAAAUUGUGGAAAUGACUCGGUCCUCAAAGGAAGUUGUCAAUCCACGGAAAAGAGUCUCAGAAACCAUUUCCGGGCACUCAAGACGACACUAAGUGAUGAAAAACCAUCCACAGAAAAGAAAAGACAAUGGAAAAAAUUUAUCCGCAAAAUUUGAGGAAAAAAGAAAAGGAAGAAAAUGACCGGGUCAUUACACUACCCUUUUGAAAAAUCCUAGAUUUUCAACUGAAAUCAAAGCUAUACCAUGAUGACCGCGUCUUCUUUUUCCUUUUUCAGUUUUUUCGGCAUUCAUUUAUUUUUAUUUUAUUUUAUUUAUUUGUUUGUUUUAUUCUUUUCCACGUUGCUUUAGGGUUUUGUUAAGCCCAAGGUAGGUUUCGAUAUCCGAAACCGAUUUUCGACACCACGUGCAUUGCAUUAUUUUAUCUUUUAUUGUCAAUGUGUGUUUUAAUUUAAUAGAAAAGUAUGCUCGUUUAAUUAUAUAUUUUGGGGGUAUGGAUGUAUAGUUUCUUCGAAAACAUUUUCGUUUUUCUUGGUUAUUUGCGUAAUUAAGUUUUCAUGGUAUUUUUAUCUUAGGAACCUUUUUGCAAUUAUUUUUAUGAGAUAUUUAGAAACGGGACCAUUUUGCAAUUUUUGAAAAGUGUGACAAGUGUCACCUUUUCCAUGGACCAUUUGUAAACUUUUGGGUAGAACACUUGGAAGCCUAGGAUAGUGACAAGUGUAAGGCCUAGAUUUAGCUUUGUGAGGAGGCCUAGGAUCAUGACAAGUGGAGGAGUGUGAUGUGUGUGUGUGAGAGAGAGGUAGUGUUGGUAUAGUAUAUGUGACUAACCAUUCAUUUUACUUAGUGGGAAAUCUAGUAAAAUGUAUUGUCUUCCACCUUGCUCUCACCUAGCCACCAUUGGAGACUUGUAAACCUGGCCUUGAAAGCUUGAUUUCAAGCAUCUUCCUUUAACCCUUUGGUCUUUCACUUCGAAGACAAAAGCUUCCUUACUCCAUUGUCCACCACACCUUGUUUGGAUUUCCAUUUUUGCUUCUAUUUCUCUUUGUUUCUAGAGAUACAAUUCUCGAGUGAGGUAGGGGUUGUCUUAUGUUUAUACUCUUAUUGUAUCUUUUGUUCCUUAUUGUUGAUAUACAUUGUAUACAUGUAAUAUGAAGUUCUAGGGUUGUAUUAGAUGAAUAUUGAUUAUAUAUAACCUAAGAUUUCAUUUUGUCGGCUUAUAUAUGGUUUACCUCUUGUGUAGUUGUUGUUUCAUUUAGUAGAAGGUUGAUUUCUAAUAUUAUUUGGUUGUUACAACUAUAGUAUUCUAGAAUUGUUCUUGUCAUUUAAUGUGUUCUGAAAUUAUACUAUGUUGUUGUUAAAUUAGGGGUUUAAAGAAUUCUAUGUUAGCAUGAAUAAAAUUCCUAUGUUGAUAACCUUGUAGUAGUGUUGUUGUAUUCACCUUGUAAACUUGACAUUGCAAAUGCCAUUGUAGCUUGAGGACUUAGGGCAUUACUUGUGUGAAUUUUGAAAAUUGAUGUGCAUAAAAGGUGGUUAAAUGCAUUGUAUAACUAUGUAAUAGUUGUAGUAUUCUUGUUGAUUUUAGAAAUACUUGGGGUAAAGAAACUUUGACAUAGAUAGGGUAAGGCCCUAGUGCCGGGGGUACGAGUUCUCCUUAAAUUAUAGUGCACACUUUGGUGGUUCCUUGCGGACGAGUAGCCCAAAAUAACUAAUUGUCUUGUGUUAUGAAGUUCAUAACCGGAUGCUGCCUCUAAGUUUUCCCUAUUGAUUAAUUUCGCAUUCAUUUACAAGUUGACAUUACUUUUGAAGUUGUAACUUGUUAUUUUUCAUUGGAUGUUCCAAUAUAUUUACGUGUAUUACUUAUUGUGGAUUACUUUCAAUUUGUUUCAAUCAUAGCUUAGGAUGAUCCCUUAACUUCCCCUUUGAAACUAGACGUUAGGAGGCAUAAUCCACAUAUGUUUGGUUUAUAUUACACAUACAAAGAACCAUUGAAACUUUAGGGUAUACGCAUAUGCAGCGUCUUAUUGAGUAAUUCAAUUACUCACCCUAGUUGAUAUUUGUUUUUCAGGCAAGGAGGUACUUUUCUUGGAUGCGAACCAUCCAUAGCUUGACUUAUGUUUACAUUUUGAUUAUCUUUUGUUUUAUGCUCACAUGCAAAUUAUUUAUCAUGUUGUAUGCAUCUUUUGGGAAUAUUGAUGUUUAUGUGUAAUAUAUGGUACUUCAAUCUCUUUUGAAGGAGGAAAUAGAAGUGGGACUAGUUAACCUUUUGGUUGAGUCCGAAGGUCAUUUCUGCUCUAGUUCUUCUUUUGUGUAAUCAUAGAGCCAUUGUAUUUCAUUUUCACUUGUAUUCAACACUUGUAUGUAUGCUCACCCACUUACACACGCUUAAAAUUUCAUGUAAGACCAAUUCAUGA
This is a long non-coding RNA of Cornus florida, 8660 nucleotides long. RefSeq lists it as uncharacterized. The transcript is spliced from 3 exons. The record is from RefSeq and is a predicted model, not a curated record. Lineage: Eukaryota; Viridiplantae; Streptophyta; Magnoliopsida; Cornales; Cornaceae.